RNAcentral lists this long non-coding RNA (1317 nucleotides) under Pogona vitticeps (central bearded dragon). RNAcentral describes it as "lncRNA (ENSPVIG00000017515.1)". The record is from RNAcentral. Lineage: Eukaryota; Metazoa; Chordata; Lepidosauria; Squamata; Agamidae.
AUGAGUUCUCUGAGCUACAGGAAGCGGGCUAACCUCAAGGACUCCAUCGGGGGCCAAGGGGACGAGGAGACCCUCUUCUCCACCCUGAGCGAGCGCCCGGCCUCUCCAGACCGCUCCUUCCGCAAGGCCAAGCGCAACUCGGCAGCAGCAGCGGGAGGUCUGGAGGAAGGCAGCGGCUCUGUCGCCUCGUGGAAGAAGGCCACCGGAGGUGGGGCGGAUGAGCUGGACGGGAGGAGCUCCGUCCUCUCUCAGCCCUUCUCCGAGAGCAGCACCGCCGGCACUGGCACCAGCCACCUUCGGAAGGAGCUGGAGAAACGCUGGCCGGCCUCCGCGGCCGAGUUGGACAAGGCCUCCCUCCUUUCCGCCCCGGUCAGUCGCGGGGGAGCGUCUUGGUGUGGCGGCCUGGAGAGCCGGGAGGACGACGCGAGGUCCUCGCUCAGUUUUGCCCUCUCCAGCCCGGGUAGCUUGCGGCGGAGCACUUCCCGCCUGGACAACCUCGGCUCUUCCGGCAGCCGGCCGAGCUCGCGCCUCUCCUUGGGCCGCGCUCCGGCCGACGAGGCCGCCGGCGUGGACCCGAGCGACACCUUCUCCCUCUACAGCCACCCCUCGCUCCCCCGCAGCCUCUCGGUGCCCCCACGGCCCCGAGCCUCUGCUUCAGAGGAGCUGCGGGCGGAGGACCUGGAUCUCCGGCCCGUCGGCCACCGCAGCUACCUCGACCCCGACCUGGAGGCUGCCAUCCACGAGGUGCUGAACUACAAGCCCGUCCAGUUCAAGCGCUCCAGCCUGGAUCCCGACUCCGAAGACGAUGACCGGAAGAGCGUCCGGAGCUCCAGGAGCCUCGCUUUGCAGGAGAGGACGGAGUGCCCGGCCGGCAGCAGCCUGCGCCGGUCGGCCUCGGCCUUGGAUUUCUCCCGGCCUCCCGGCGUCAAGGCCAAGGGCCGAAAGAGGAGCGACAGUUCGCCCAGCGACUCUUCCUCCUCCUCUUCCUCACCUUCUCCCGAGCGACAACGGAGGAGCUCCCGGAAGCAUGCCAGGAAGUCCAAGAAGAAAUCCAAGAAGAAGCAGAAGUCGCGUUCGCGCUCUGGGUCUUCCUCGGAGUCCUCUUCCUCCUCCUCCUCCUCGGGCUCCACCGUCUCGUACCGCAGCAACUCCAGUGUGAAAAAGGGGCCCCGGCGGGAAGAGGGCGACUCGGGGGCGGCCAAGGAGGGGCAGGAGGCCGGCAAGUCGAACAAGCAGCUCAAGAAGGAGGAGAAGCAGCGCAAGAAGCAGGUGGACAGCCUGAUGAUGAAGUACCUCUACCGGCCGGAGAGCGACUAA